Molecule: long non-coding RNA, 1200 nt
Organism: Gallus gallus (chicken)
Lineage: Eukaryota; Metazoa; Chordata; Aves; Galliformes; Phasianidae
Source: Ensembl
UUUAAAUUUCCUUGUUUUGCUGCUAAGGUCGGAUAGUGAAUAGCAACUCCAGCUCUAAUCUUUUGGCUGACUGACAGGAAGAAAUACACUCCUGUAUGUCUCAUCGCUCUCAUUGAAUUGUUAGAAUUCAGAGAGAAGCAGCAGCUAGCAAGUCAUGUGGCAAGAUUAUACGCUGAUAAGAUAGCUUUGUCCCUCCAAAGUUAAACCAGAUGCCAAUAAUAAAUACAUGCAAUUCUUUUAUUAUUAUUUUAAUCCCUGAUUUUAUCUCUGAGAAUGUCUCUUUUGUUGACAAAAUUGCAUCGAGUCAUGAAGAAUUCUGUACAACAUAAACUGCAAAUACGUUGUACAACACACAUUUCAUGAUGCCCUUCCAAAAUCCAUCUUCUACCAUGACAGUAGAAGCUGCAGAAGGAGCAGACAACUGAUGUGGAAUCAUCUCAAACUGUGCACGGUUGAGCAAGAAGAGAUGGACCUGACAUGCUUCAUGGAAGGAAAAGUCUUGGGAUAAAACUGAAAUGUCAAAACUGAAGCAAACUGCAUGAGUCAAAUGGAAAUCAAGUGGUGAAAAUGUCUUCCAAAGCUGAUAACACACUAGUCAUAUUUACUUGUAUUUGCCAUGGUAAAACGGAGGCUCUAUCAAAAAUCAGGCUCACUCUGUGUAAGACAGAAGAAGGAAGAAACCUGCUUUUUGAUAUCAAAGAAAAGGAGAGCUUGAUAGCUUAUAUUACGCAUUCUAUAGACAAUUAUGUGGACCCUAUUGGCUUCUAUAACAUUUUGAAAACGCAUUCACAAUAAUAUUCUAUUUCCAUGCUAGCAAUGUCAGUGGGUGUCCUGGUAGUACAUUAUUUAGGCACAUUGAGAAAAUAAUAGGAUUUACAAUAGCUGGCAAUUUGUUUUCUACUGCCACAGUGUAUGCUUUUGUUACAGUCCUCGUAACUGUUAGAAAUUUCUUUCUGGCUAUUCUGUUCAUCUUUUCUACUGAAAUAUUUCUUCAUUGUGAAUCACUUUAGUAUGAAUUGGACUGUUUUUGCUGUCAAAGGUUUUCAUUAUUAGACUUAAUAUAAAUAGUGCAAAUGUUUUUCUAGGAAUAGUCAUCCACAUUUUUAAUGUUUUCUACUUCUGCUUGUAGGUCUGAUUAAUGGUAUUACCAGUAGCACUAGCAAACUAUUGCAAAAGGCAGGGAAUACUUCCAAAUACUAG